GAUAGAAAAGUUAACGUUUGUUAACUUUGUUGAUGUAGAAUAUAUGUGGAUUGUCAAGUAAUCAUUUAAUUAAUUUUUUAAAAUUAAAAAAUAUUAAAAUAUUUUUUUAUAAUUUCUAUAAUUAUUUUUAAUUUUUAAAAAUAUUAUAUAUAUUUUUGAUUUUUUUAAAAUCUAAAAAUUUAAUUAAAUAUUGAUGUGUCAUCCACUUGGCAAUCCAUGUGUAUGCAACAUCAACAAAGUUAGAAAAAUGUUAACUUUUUCAUUCA
This 266-nucleotide microRNA precursor is filed under the name Gossypium raimondii (Peruvian cotton). Its description in RNAcentral is "miR8762b stem-loop (gra-MIR8762b)". The record is from miRBase by way of RNAcentral. Lineage: Eukaryota; Viridiplantae; Streptophyta; Magnoliopsida; Malvales; Malvaceae.